RNAcentral lists this long non-coding RNA (3469 nucleotides) under Volvox carteri. Its description in RNAcentral is "long non-coding RNA (VCAR_LNC000076)". Lineage: Eukaryota; Viridiplantae; Chlorophyta; Chlorophyceae; Chlamydomonadales; Volvocaceae. The record is from RNAcentral.
AUGACUACCCGUAGGAUCGUGCAGAUGCCAGCGCUGCAGCACCUACAACCCCCGCCCAUGGGAUUGGGAGGCAACCCUGGUCGCCUGGCCGCCCAGGCAGCAGCGGUAGCGGUGGAACGCCAUCGGGAGACCUUAGUACGCGCGAACGCCAACUUGGGAGGCACCACACAUACCCACAUCCUGGCAGACGCUAUUGUGGGCGGUGUACUGAUGUCAUUGGGCAGCAGAGCCCCGCUUACAAACAUCGCGGCGGCGGUGGAACAAGUUAUCCGGGGGGUAGGGGAGCUCCUCAUCCGACAACUCAAGACAGCGCUCUCAAGCCCGUUGGGGCUGUCGUACGCCCAGUGGAUAUCGGAGCGCCUCACUACGAAGCUUCACGCGCUGCUCGCCCCUUUGACCACGUAUGCCGCGACCUACGACGCGGACAUCUACACGGUCAGCAACAUGCUGGCCACCUUACUGGGCGGGUUAGAGUUGGCCGACUGCGCGUUAAGCCUGCUGAAACCGAAUCACCCCCAACUGGGGGCAGCGCAACGAGCUUGGCUACUGGCCGCGGAAAACGAGGUCACCAGAGACGCCAUUUGCGAAGCAGAUAUGACGGAGGCAAUGUGGGCGAAAGGCUACGGCCCACAACUGGGCUGUCUUUGGCGCCUGCUGGAACGGGUGGACGAUACGGUCAGACUUCUGCGAUCAACUCUCGCCAACGCAAAAUUCCAAAGCGGUUGGCAAGAGAGCCAAGCUGGGGGCUCACGCACCCAGGACAACCCCGGGGGUGGGGCGAUGAGCGGAGGCCAGGCGGCAGGUAUGAGAAGCAGCGUCGGCAACGGGCCAGCGGGGGAAGAGGGCCGGCAGGGCGGGGGCCGCCGAAACGACGCCCUAGCGGGACGCGGCAGGCAAGGGCCCGCGCCGUGGCAGGCGGCCUUCGACGCAGUGAGAGACGAGCUCGGGAGGCGCAACCUCCCGGCAGAGCUGUGCCCGGAUAGCGACACUUUAUUCCGGACGGCCAAGUCCCUUCGCCCGGCGAUUUGCUGCAACGUGGCACUCCUGGGAAAGCAAUGCCCUAUGGGCGGCCCCCCAGGCUGCAAAUUCGUGCACGACGACCUCCAGCGGACUGUAGGGCGCUUGGUGACUGAGUUGGCGACGAAGAGACAGGCAGGGCCCAACUCGAGCGGGAAUAAGCGGACCUUGGUGAAUUAGUUCGGGAAGCUAAGGCAGACUUAGCGUUAGCACACCUUGUGCUGUGGUUCGAAUGCGCGAUUUGUGGGCGUUAGAGCUUGAGAGUCAGGCCGCGGUACCUCGUGGCUACCGUUAAGACCUAGUAAGGCGCGGACGUUUAUGUGGUUGUUAUCCUUGACCUGACUGCAGACGGCGAUUGGGAGUAGCGACUGCCCGGAGCGAGCGCGAAAAGGAACGCUAGGCAUUGACCCCAGUCGGAUCGGAUCGGACGAGGGAUCGCGCGGAACAGAAGGUGAACCCGAGACAAAAACCCUAACUCUCGAGCUAGACGGCGAGGACGCUGGCACUUGGUGCGACCCGGAAGAAGACGCGCUGCUGUUGUUCUUUAAGAAAGUGCCGGUCGCCAACAACCCCCAGACUGAGAUCGCGUUGCCCGCGCCACCAGAGACGGACCUACCACGCGCAGCAGAACAGCUGAACCGGGCAUGGCUCGGUAUCACCGCAGCAACACUGGCUGAGACCCCGGACACGCAGCUGAUGCAGGAAGCGACGUUCGAANNNNNNNNNNNNNNNNNNNNNNNNNNNNNNNNNNNNNNNNNNNNNNNNNNNNNNNNNNNNNNNNNNNNNNNNNNNNNNNNNNNNNNNNNNNNNNNNNNNNNNNNNNNNNAGGAACGCCAGGAGUACCCAGCAUUGGCGAGACAACGCGAGAGCAGCGAUCUACACCCGGCAGCGACAGGCCACCUCAGCUGGGAAAAUAUGGGCAUUCCGUUCGCCCCGAAACGCGCAACGUAAACGGUAGCCCACCCAGCGCCAGCGCCGGGCCACUGGAGCCAAGCGGCAGAAUCAGACGGUUUGCCCCAGCCGGGGGGUAAACUUCUCCUUGGGAACGUGCUUUUUGGACCGAUAGAAUCCGACGCCCGAGGCAUGACUACCCGUAGGAUCGUGCAGAUGCCAGCGCUGCAGCACCUACAACCCCCGCCCAUGGGAUUGGGAGGCAACCCUGGUCGCCUGGCCGCCCAGGCAGCAGCGGUAGCGGUGGAACGCCAUCGGGAGACCUUAGUACGCGCGAACGCCAACUUGGGAGGCACCACACAUACCCACAUCCUGGCAGACGCUAUUGUGGGCGGUGUACUGAUGUCAUUGGGCAGCAGAGCCCCGCUUACAAACAUCGCGGCGGCGGUGGAACAAGUUAUCCGGGGGGUAGGGGAGCUCCUCAUCCGACAACUCAAGACAGCGCUCUCAAGCCCGUUGGGGCUGUCGUACGCCCAGUGGAUAUCGGAGCGCCUCACUACGAAGCUUCACGCGCUGCUCGCCCCUUUGACCACGUAUGCCGCGACCUACGACGCGGACAUCUACACGGUCAGCAACAUGCUGGCCACCUUACUGGGCGGGUUAGAGUUGGCCGACUGCGCGUUAAGCCUGCUGAAACCGAAUCACCCCCAACUGGGGGCAGCGCAACGAGCUUGGCUACUGGCCGCGGAAAACGAGGUCACCAGAGACGCCAUUUGCGAAGCAGAUAUGACGGAGGCAAUGUGGGCGAAAGGCUACGGCCCACAACUGGGCUGUCUUUGGCGCCUGCUGGAACGGGUGGACGAUACGGUCAGACUUCUGCGAUCAACUCUCGCCAACGCAAAAUUCCAAAGCGGUUGGCAAGAGAGCCAAGCUGGGGGCUCACGCACCCAGGACAACCCCGGGGGUGGGGCGAUGAGCGGAGGCCAGGCGGCAGGUAUGAGAAGCAGCGUCGGCAACGGGCCAGCGGGGGAAGAGGGCCGGCAGGGCGGGGGCCGCCGAAACGACGCCCUAGCGGGACGCGGCAGGCAAGGGCCCGCGCCGUGGCAGGCGGCCUUCGACGCAGUGAGAGACGAGCUCGGGAGGCGCAACCUCCCGGCAGAGCUGUGCCCGGAUAGCGACACUUUAUUCCGGACGGCCAAGUCCCUUCGCCCGGCGAUUUGCUGCAACGUGGCACUCCUGGGAAAGCAAUGCCCUAUGGGCGGCCCCCCAGGCUGCAAAUUCGUGCACGACGACCUCCAGCGGACUGUAGGGCGCUUGGUGACUGAGUUGGCGACGAAGAGACAGGCAGGGCCCAACUCGAGCGGGAAUAAGCGGACCUUGGUGAAUUAGUUCGGGAAGCUAAGGCAGACUUAGCGUUAGCACACCUUGUGCUGUGGUUCGAAUGCGCGAUUUGUGGGCGUUAGAGCUUGAGAGUCAGGCCGCGGUACCUCGUGGCUACCGUUAAGACCUAGUAAGGCGCGGACGUUUAUGUGGUUGUUAUCCUUGACCUGACUGCAGACGG